AUGCGAACGAGAGUGCCCGGUCCCAGAUCCGGAGGGGAUGUGAAAAAGCCAGGAGACUCUCUCCGCCUCUCCUGCAAAGCCUCUGGGUUCACCUUCAGCAAUCACAGACAGCAUUGGGUCCGACAGGCUCCCAGGAAGGGGCUGGAGUCGGUCGCUACAGUCAAUCAGCCAAGUGGCUCCAAACAAUGGUAUUCCCCAGCUGUUCAAGGCCGAUUCACCAUCUCCCGAGACACUUCUGUCAGCUCGGCUUAUCUGCAAAUGACCGGCCUGAAACCCGAGGACACCUCCCGCUAUUACUGUGCCAGACACACAGUGAAACACAACCUAAUACUGGUGCAGAAACCUUGGCUGCACCAUCUCCUGUGA
Non-coding RNA from Emys orbicularis (European pond turtle), 366 nucleotides. The record is from the annotation of a RefSeq genome assembly. NCBI's taxonomy places the organism in Eukaryota, Metazoa, Chordata, Testudines, Emydidae.